This 301-nucleotide ribosomal RNA is filed under the name uncultured bacterium. RNAcentral describes it as "partial 16S ribosomal RNA". It matches the Rfam family "Bacterial small subunit ribosomal RNA", at positions 509 to 807 of the family's 1533-position model. The record is from RNAcentral.
CAGCAGCCACGGGAAUACGUAGGGUGCAAGCGUUAAUCGGAAUUACUGGGCGUAAAGCGUGCGCAGGCGGUUAUAUAAGACAGAUGUGAAAUCCCCGGGCUCAACCUGGGAACUGCAUUUGUGACUGUAUAGCUAGAGUACGGCAGAGGGUGAUGGAAUUCCGCGUGUAGCAGUGAAAUGCGUAGAUAUGCGGAGGAACACCGAUGGCGAAGGCAAUCCCCUGGGCCUGUACUGACGCUCAUGCACGAAAGCGUGGGGAGCAAACAGGAUUAGAUACCCCCGUAGUCCCUGUCUCUUAUAC